UCAUAUGCUUGUCUCAAAGCUUAAGCCAUGCAAGUGUAAGUUCACGCCACGCAUUAGAACGGGCGAAACCGCGAAUGGCUCAGGAACCGGACCUAAUCCUCGGGACCGUAUUCCUCCUCGGAGGCGAUGGAUAACUGUGGCAAUUCUAGAGCUAAUACAUGUGACACAGGCCGCGAUCGGUCGGCGCGUUGUCGUCGCCUCGCCUUGCGCGCUGGCACCCGCGUCGGCCGUUCCGGGUCGCGGCGCUACAUAUUAGACUGAGACCGAUGCGCGUCAUUCCGUCCUCCCGUCGUCGGCGUCGGCGCAAGCCGGUCGCUCGGUGGCGGGGCUCAUAGGGCGGCGCGCUCCGCUUUGGUGACUCUGGAUAACUCACUGGUCGAUCGCACGGGCUUUACGCCCGGCGACGGGUCUCUCGAGGGUCCGCCCUAUCAACUGUCGACGGUCGGUUAAGUGCCUACCGUGGUUACUACGGGUAACGGGGAAUCGGGGUUCGAUUCCGGAGAGGGAGCAUGCGAAACGGCUACCACAUCCAAGGAAGGCAGCAGGCGCGCAAAUUACCCACUCCCGGCACGGGGAGGUAGUGACGAAAAAUAACGACGCGGGACUCUGUCGAGGCCCCGCGAUCGGAAUGAGUACACUUCAAAUCCGUUAACGAGGACCAACCGGAGGGCAAGUCUGGUGCCAGCAGCCGCGGUAAUUCCAGCUCCGGUAGCGUAUAUUAAAGUUGUUGCGGUUAAAAAGCUCGUAGUCCGAACUCGGGUUCGUGGUCGCGCAAGCGGCCCCGGGGCGGCGGCGCCAUCGUCCGUCGUUGACUUUGGUCGUCCGUUCGCAUUCCCGGCCCUUUCCGCCGGUGUCAACCGCUAGCAUAUCCGUCACGCGGUCCUGCCGGCGAGGUGGACGAGGAUGUCGAGUCGGGAUCCGGGAGCGGUAAUGGGCUGGGAACGAAAUCACGGGGUCUGCGGGGGGUUAGCGGUGGUGGCUCGCUCGCCCACCUCGGCGCGCGGCGCGGUGGUUCUUCCUCCGUCGCCGCCGUCGUCUCCGGCGGGUGUCCGUCGCGGCGCCCCCCCUCUCCUCGCUUCCUCCCUCCUCGCCCUCCCCCCGACCCACUCCGAGUCCCUGCUUCGUGUCUGUCUGCGCGCGUGUGCGGUCGGCGGUUUCUCCUCCAAGGGUGCUCUUAACCGAGUGUCCGCGGCGGCCGGUACGUUCACUUUGAAAAAAUUAGAGUGCUCAGAGCGGGCUGUUCAAGCUUGCAUACGAUAAGCAUGGAAUGAUGGAAGAGGGCCUCGUCUACGUCUGUCGGUCUCCGUCUACGGCGAGGCAAUGAUCGAAGGGAGCGGUCGGGGCCACUCGUAUUGCGACGUUAGAGGUGAAAUUCUUGGAUCGUCGCAAGACGAACUGCAGCGAUGGCGUGUGGCAAGCACGUUUUCCUCGAUCAAGAGCGAAAGUCGGAGGUUCGAAGACGAUCAGAUACCGUCGUAGUUCCGACCGUAAACGAUGCCGACCGGCGAUCCGCCGGCGUUCCAUUCCAUGACCCGGCGGGUAGCCUGCGGGAAACCAGAGUUCGGUUCCGGGGGGAGUAUGGUUGCAAAGCUGAAACUUAAAGGAAUUGACGGAAGGGCACCACCAGGAGUGGAGCCUGCGGCUUAAUUUGACUCAACACGGGAAAACUCACCCGGUCCGGACACCGGUAGGAUUGACAGAUCGAUAGCUCUUUCUCGAUUCGGUGGGUGGUGGUGCAUGGCCGUUCUUAGUUGGUGGAGCGAUCCGUCUGGUUGAUUCCGAUAACGAACGAGACUCCGGCCUGCUAACUAGUGCGCCGAUGUGAGUGAUUUUUACGGCGGGCUCGGCGUCCUUCGCGGCGCUCGGGUCCGGGUCGGUUUUCUCACGCACUUCUUAGAGGGACGGGUGGCAGAAAGCCACACGAGGCGGAGCGAUAACAGGUCUGUGAUGCCCUUAGAUGUCCGGGGCCGCACGCGCGCUACACUGGAGGUAUCAGCGGGGACUUCGCCCCGGCCCGAGAGGGUUGGGAAACCUCUUAACCACCUCCCGUGAUAGGGAUCGGGGCCUGUAACCAACCCCGUGAACGAGGAAUUCCCGGUAGGCGCGGGUCAACAGCCCGCGUCGAUCACGUCCCUGCCCUUUGUACACACCGCCCGUCGCUACUACCGAUCGAACGGUCCGGUGAGGUCCUCGGAUCUGGCCGACGACGCCGCCGGGCAGUGUGCGAUGUGUCGGCAACGACACUCGUGCGCGUCAGCCUCGGCGUUCGAUGCCUGGAGAAGACGACCGAACCCGAUCGUUUAGAGGAAGUAAAAGUCGUAACAAGGUUUCC
This 2332-nucleotide ribosomal RNA is filed under the name Sepiola affinis. RNAcentral's name for it is "bacterial SSU rRNA". It matches the Rfam family "Eukaryotic small subunit ribosomal RNA". Lineage: Eukaryota; Metazoa; Mollusca; Cephalopoda; Sepiida; Sepiolidae. The record is from RNAcentral.